RNAcentral lists this ribosomal RNA (515 nucleotides) under uncultured bacterium. RNAcentral describes it as "bacterial SSU rRNA". It matches the Rfam family "Bacterial small subunit ribosomal RNA", at positions 35 to 507 of the family's 1533-position model. The record is from RNAcentral.
CGUACACGGACGGAACGCGUGGCGGGCGGUGGAGUUAGGUCAUAGCAAGUACGGACGGUAGGGCGUUUAUCGUAAGAUAGAGUUGAGAGUGGCGCACGGGUGAGUAACGCGUGGAUAAUCUGCCCUUUAGUUGGGAAUAACGUACCGAAAGGUGCGCUAAUACCGAAUAAUGCUGAGUGACAUCAGUUAUUUAGCCAAAGAAGGCCUCUGCUGCAAGCUUUCGCUGAAGGAUGAGUCCGUGUACCAUUAGCUAGUUGGUAGGGUAAUGGCCUACCAAGGCGACGAUGGUUAGCUGGUCUGAGAGGAUGAUCAGCCACACUGGAACUGAGACACGGUCCAGACUCCUACGGGAGGCAGCAGUAAGGAAUAUUGGGCAAUGGUCGAAAGACUGACCCAGCCAUGCCGCGUGCAGGAUGAAGGCCCUAUGGGUUGUAAACUGCUUUUAGCCGGGAAUAAACACCCGUUUUAUAACGGGCCCGAAGGUACCGGCUGAAUAAGCAUCGGCUAACUCCGUG